GCUCUGGUGGUCUAGUGGUUAAGACUCUGCGCUUCCAAAGCAGGGGGACCCAGGUUUGAUCCCUGGUCAGGGAA
RNAcentral lists this transfer RNA (74 nucleotides) under Ovis aries (sheep). It matches the Rfam family "tRNA". From Rfam's summary of the family: Transfer RNA (tRNA) molecules are approximately 80 nucleotides in length. Their secondary structure includes four short double-helical elements and three loops (D, anti-codon, and T loops). Lineage: Eukaryota; Metazoa; Chordata; Mammalia; Artiodactyla; Bovidae. The record is from Rfam by way of RNAcentral.